GGCGGCAAUAGCGCGGUGGUCCCACCUGACCCCAUGCCGAACUCAGAAGUGAAACGCCGUAGCGCCGAUGGUAGUGUGGGGUCUCCCCAUGCGAGAGUAGGACACUGCCAAGCA
Molecule: ribosomal RNA, 114 nt
Filed under: Serratia entomophila
Lineage: Bacteria; Pseudomonadati; Pseudomonadota; Gammaproteobacteria; Enterobacterales; Yersiniaceae
Source: RNAcentral